UACAGAGGUCUCGAGCGUUAGGCGGAAUCACUGGGCUUAAAGCGUGUGUAGGUGGAUCGUUAAGUACCUUGUGAAAUCCCACGGCUUAACCGUGGAACUGCUUGGUAUACUGGCGGUCUUGAGCCAGCUAGGGGCUACCGGAACAAAUGGUGGAGCGGUGAAAUGCGUAGAUAUCAUUUGGAACGCCAAUGGUGAAAACAGGUAGCUGGGGCUGUGCUG
This 219-nucleotide ribosomal RNA is filed under the name uncultured bacterium. RNAcentral describes it as "partial 16S ribosomal RNA". It matches the Rfam family "Bacterial small subunit ribosomal RNA", at positions 524 to 742 of the family's 1533-position model. The record is from RNAcentral.